Molecule: transfer RNA, 69 nt
Filed under: Triticum aestivum (bread wheat)
Lineage: Eukaryota; Viridiplantae; Streptophyta; Magnoliopsida; Poales; Poaceae
Also listed under: 1 other name
Rfam family: tRNA
About the family: Transfer RNA (tRNA) molecules are approximately 80 nucleotides in length.
Source: Rfam by way of RNAcentral
UCUACUACUCAGUUGGUAGAGUACGGAGCUCUUAACCUUGUGGACGUGGGUUCAAGCCCCAUGGUGGAG